UACGGAGGGUGCAAGCGUUAAUCGGAAUUACUGGGCGUAAAGCGCGCGUAGGCGGCUCUUUAAGUCGGAUGUGAAAGCCCCGGGCUCAACCUGGGAACUGCAUCCGAUACUGGGGAGCUAGAGUGUAGGAGAGGGAGGUAGAAUUCCAUGUGUAGCAGUGAAAUGCGUAGAUAUAUGGAGGAAUACCAGUGGCGAAGGCGGCCUCCUGGCUUAACACUGACGCUGAGGUGCGAAAAGCGUGGGGAGCAAA
RNAcentral lists this ribosomal RNA (250 nucleotides) under uncultured bacterium. RNAcentral's name for it is "partial 16S ribosomal RNA". It matches the Rfam family "Bacterial small subunit ribosomal RNA", at positions 524 to 772 of the family's 1533-position model. The record is from RNAcentral.